CCUUCUCCGUGUCUCUACUCUUUUCUCUGGGCUUGCCUCCUUCACUAUAGGUAAGCUUCCACCUUCCAUUCCUCCUCCUUCUCCCUUAGCCUGUGUUCUCAAAAAUUUAAAACCUCUUCAACUCACACCUGACCUAAAACCUAAAUGACUUAUUUUCUUCUGCAAUGCCGCUUGACCCCAAUACAAACUCAACAGUAGUUCCAAAUAGCCAGAAAACGGCACUUUCAAUUUUUCCAUCCUACAAGAUCUAAAUAAUUUUGUCGUAAAAUGGGCAAAUGGUCUGAGGUGCCUGACGUCCAGGCAUUCUUUUACACAUCAGUCCCUUCCUAGUCUCUGUGCCCAGUGCAACUUGUCCCAAAUCUUCCUUCUUUCCCUCCCACCUGUCCCCUCAGUACCAACCCCAAGCAUCGCUAAGUCUUUCUAAUCUUCCUUUUCUACAGACCCAUCUGACCUCUCUCCUCCUCCACAGGCUGAGCUAGGUCCCAAUUCUUCCUCAGCCUCCGCUCCUCCACCCUAUAAUCAUUUUAUCGCCUCCCCUCCUCACACCUGCUCCGGCUUACAGUUUCAUUCUGUGACUAGCCCUCCCCCACCUGCCCAGCAAUUUAUCUUAAAAAGGUGGCUGGAGCUAAAGGCAUAGUCAAGGUUAAUGCUCCUUUUUCUUUAUCCCAAAUCAGAUAGCGUUUAGGCUCUUUUUCAUCAAAUAUAAAAACCCAGCCCAGUUCAUGGCUCGUUCGGCAGCAACCCUGAGAUGCUUUACAGCCCUAGACCCUAAAAUGUCAAAAGGCCAUCUUAUUCUUAAUAUACAUUUUAUUACCCAAUCUGCUCCCGACAUUAAAUAAAACUCCAAAAAUUAUAUUCCGGCCCUCAAACCCCACAACAGGAUUUAAUUAACCUCGCCUUCAAGGUGUACAAUAAUAGAAAAAAGUUGCAAUUACUUGCCUCCACUGUGAGACAAACCCCAGCCACAUCUCCAGCACACAAGAACUUCCAAACGCCUGAACCGCAGCGGCCAGGCGUUCCUCCAGAAGCUCCUCCCCCAGGAGCUUGCUACAAGUGCCAGAAAUCUGACCACCAGGCCAAGGAAUGCCUGCAGCCCAGGAUUCCUCCUAAGCCGUGUCCCAUCUGUGUAGGACCCCACUGGAAAUCGGACUGUUCAACUCACCUGGCAGCCACUCCCAGAGCCCCUGGAACUCUGGCCUAAGGCUCUCUGACUGACUCCUUCUCGGCUUAGCAGCUGAAGACUGACACUGCCCAAUCACCUCGGAAGCCCUGUAGACCAUCACGGAUGCCGAGCUUUAGGUAACUCUCACAGUGGAAGGUUCCCACGCUGCCCCUAAUCCCACUUGAAGCAGCCCUGAGAAACAUCGCCCAUUCUCUCUCCAUACCACCCCCCAAAAAUUUUCACCGCCCCAACACUUCAACACUAUUUUGUUUUAUUUUUAUUAUUAAUAUAAGAAGGCAGGAAUGUCAGGCCUCUGAGCCCAAGCCAAGCCAUCGCAUCCCCUGUGACUUGCACGUAUAUGCCCAGAUGGCCUGAAGUAACUGAAGAAUCACAAAAGAAGUGAAUAUGCCCUGCCCCACCUUAACUGAUGACAUUCCACCACAAAAGAAGUGUAAAUGGCCGGUCCUUGCCUUAAGUGAUGACAUUACCUUGUGAAGGUCCUUUUCCUAGCUCAUCCUGGCUCAAAAAGCACCCCCACUGAGCACCUUGCCACCCCCACUCCUGCCCGCCAGAGAACAAACUCCCUUUAACUGUAAUUUUCCUUUACCUACCCAAAUCCUAUAAAAUGGCCCCACCCUUAUCUCCCUUCCCUGACUCUCUUUUUGGACUCAGCCUGCCUGCACCCAGGUGAAAUAAACAGCCAAGUUGCUCACACAAAGCCUGUUUGGUGGUCUCUUCACACGGACGCGCAUGAAAGCUACAAGAUCAGAUGAGCCAGUUUAUCCAUCUGGGUGGUGCCAACUGUUCCAUCAAGUGCAGAGUCUGCAAAAUAUCGCAAGCACUGAUCUCAGGUUUUACAAUAGUGAUGUUAUCCCCAGGGGCAAUUUGUGGAGAGUCAGAAUCUUUAAUCUUUACAUGACUGCUAAACCAUAAUUUCUAAUCUUUUGGCUAAUGUUAGUCCUACAAAGACAUUCUAGUCCCCAGGCAAGAAGGGGAAGUAGGGGUGUUGUUUCCCUUUUGUUUCAGUCUUUCUUCCCUCAGGCUUUUUCUGAGGGUAAAGGAAACUGUCCCCCACCCCGCCAUCACUCUUGGUGGUUAGGGAUAUCAGCCUCAGUCCAAGCCAGGCUUUCUAUGACAUUUUCCUGAUUUGUCUGGAAUGAACAGGUGAGCAGCAGCUCUCUGCCCCACUCCCCUCCCGGAAGAGACUGGGGCUCAUGGCCCAAAGGCCACAUGUGGCAGGCUGGCCAGUGUUCCUAGCCACACAUCCACAGUGUCUUCCCCUCUCCUGGCUGAGGGCUCUAGCUCCAUGCGAACCCCAGGGAACAAACAGCAAUUAAGUUUCUCUCCCUCUUGGAGAAACCAUUUGCAUAAGAAUAAGAGCUUCUUCCCUCAGGCAUCUUUCCAACCCUGCACUUUGAGGGUCUUUUUUUUUUUCCUUUUCUCAACCCUGUCAGCAGUUAACACAGCCCUGCACUUUAAGUUGGGGUUUUUUUUCUUCUUUUCCAUGGGUCAACAGUUGUGUGAAAGGCUUUUGUUCAUGUGCAUCCAUUUGAAGAGACCACCAAACAGGCUUUGUGUGAGCAACAUGGCUGUUUAUUUCACCUGGGUGCAGGCGGGCUGAGUCCAAAAAGAGAGU
Gorilla gorilla gorilla (western lowland gorilla) is the source of this 2798-nucleotide long non-coding RNA. RefSeq lists it as uncharacterized. NCBI's taxonomy places the organism in Eukaryota, Metazoa, Chordata, Mammalia, Primates, Hominidae. The transcript is spliced from 2 exons. The record is from RefSeq and is a predicted model, not a curated record.